This 439-nucleotide ribosomal RNA is filed under the name uncultured bacterium. Its description in RNAcentral is "partial 16S ribosomal RNA". It matches the Rfam family "Bacterial small subunit ribosomal RNA", at positions 339 to 795 of the family's 1533-position model. The record is from RNAcentral.
CUACGGGACGCACCAGUGAGGAAUAUUGCACAAUGGGGGGAACCCUGAUGCAGCAACGCCGCGUGGAGGAUGACGCAUUUCGGUGUGUAAACUCCUUUUAUAUGUCAAGAAAAUGACGGUAGCAUAUGAAUAAGCACCGGCUAACUCCGUGCCAGCAGCCACGGUAAUACGGAGGGUGCAAGCGUUACUCGGAAUCACUGGGCGUAAAGGACGCGUAGGCGGGUUGGAAAGUCAGGUGUGAAAUCCUACAGCUUAACUGUAGAACUGCACUUGAAACUUCUAAUCUAGAGUAUGGGAGGGGGAGAUGGAAUUAGUGGUGUAGGGGUAAAAUCCGUAGAUAUCACUAGGAAUACCUAAAGCGAAGGCGAUCUCCUGGAACAUUACUGACGCUAAGGCGUGAAAGCGUGGGGAGCAAACAGGAUUAGAUACCCUUGUAGUC